Long non-coding RNA from Passer montanus (Eurasian tree sparrow), 3360 nucleotides. RefSeq lists it as uncharacterized. NCBI's taxonomy places the organism in Eukaryota, Metazoa, Chordata, Aves, Passeriformes, Passeridae. The transcript has 3 exons. The record is from RefSeq and is a predicted model, not a curated record.
UGAAGGAAAUUAAAUUCUUCCAAGUCACAAUGAUCACAGCCAGGAAUCCACAAAUUUUCAGGAUUUUUGAUCUGCAGGAGGAAAUCUUGAUGGGAUGUUGAGUCAGGAUCUCGUAAUUCUUAUUUGAAAGGCCAUUAAAGUGGAAAUAUUUUCUCAGGAGGAAAUCUUGAUGGGGUGUUGAGUCAGGAUCUCAUAGUUCUUACUUGAAAGACCAUUAAAAUGGAAAUAUUUUCUGAAAUGCAGCACAGAUGGAGAUCUGAGCUGCAGGGGAAAUGCUGCAGGUGAAACUUCUCCUGAAAAACCCUCCCCAGUCCAGAGGUGAGUGAGUGAUGAGCCAAAAAAAGAGGAUUUCGAGACAACGUGACUCCAGCAGGCCAUGAGAACAAUGAGAAGUUCAAAAAUAGCACUAUUGACUGGUGGAAAAACAACAUACAUAUAAUUUUCAGGUUGGGAAUACAGCUGGGAAUUCUGCCACUGCAGGCCAGGAGUACAGCUGGGAAUUCCAUCAUUCCAGGCUGGGAAUUCUGCAGUCCCAGGACGCGGCGGGCGCUGUCAGUCGUGGCAGAGGUUUGAGGAGUGGCAGCGAGCAGAGCAGAGCCGGGGCAGAGGCAGGGCGGGGUGUGAACAACACCAGGGUGAGCACAGCCUGGAUGUCGGAGCAGGGAAACACCAGGGAACAGGGAAAUGAGGGAUGUGGCACGCUGCUGCCUCAUUAACAAUCCCAGAAACUCGUUUGCAUGUGAUUUCCAUGGUGCCACUGCCGGGGUGACGUUCCCCAAAUGCCCCAGGAUCGCUCCCUAAAUUCAGAUUUGAGCUCCCCUCCGGGGGUUUUCACAGCACGGGCAGCAAAGUUUCCUUCCUAAGCAGCAGCCCUGGUUUGGGCCCAGGCUGGGAGAGGAUGGAAACACAACAUGAUAGAAUUUGGUCUGGUAUUGCUCUUGGAUGUGGAUCUUGGGGAGAUGUUUGUGCCAGCCCACUCCACAUCGACUUCCUGCUCAGCACAAGGAGCCACAUGUUGUUAUAAAGUUAAAAAUGGGUUUAUUUUAUCAGAUAUGGGCUAUUCCAUUGUCUUCUCGUGCAGCCAAGUAAUUUUCACUGAAGUAUUCCUCUUUCUGUCCCUCAGAAAAGGGUAUUUCACACAUUUCAUGCCUGCAGCAACCUCAGCAAUAAAGGGAUUUUAAGGGCUUGGUUGUGUUUUCUAUCAAGAAAUAGUAACUGAGAGUCUCUCAUUAAAUCAGUUUUAUUCAGGCUCAGAAAUGCUCUUGUAUUACUUUUAAGCAAAGAGUAAAUUUGCAUUAUUGGGCAAAGAGGGAAUUCGUGGAUACUCAGACUAAUGAAAACAAUAUGGUCACAGAAAAAAAUGCAUAUCUUUAAAAAAUACUAUUGUGUCUGGACCUGGCUUUGAGCAUGUGAGUUAUGUGACACGAUACAUUUUUUUGGGAAGUUACAGAAGAGGAAAAUAAAAGAAAUGGGGGGGUAGGAGACAGAUUCUCAAGUCAUUUAUUUUACUGCGAUAGGGCCAAAAGGGGGAAAUGCAACUUUGGAAAACUGGGAAUUGAAAAUAUCAAAAUUUUGGAGGGUUGAGGGAAAUCUUGAUCUUUCAUUUUCUCUCCCCACAGAGGCUAAAAAUAAAAAAAAAUACUGUAGCUCUAGCUCAGAAGCAGAACAACUGGAGGAUUGUUUUGGGGCUGUUCUCCCCUACUCCAGUUGCAUCCCAGUAUUUUCUUCUGGAAAUGGAGAGAGAAUGAAAGAUUUAAUUUUCGGACAGAUCUGAGCGCUGCCAUCACUGCCACAGCUGGAGCCACUGAGAGCACCUCUGGAAAUGACUGCGUGUUGACAAAGGCUUUUUUUGGCAAUAAACCAUCAUCUGAGCCUCGGGAGCAGAGAGGAACAAAAUUUCACUACAUGUAAAUAAUAGCCUAAAAAUAGAACUGCAGAUUGUUUUUCUCAUUAAGUUCCUUCUCCAUCCUCCAGUAUGUUCUGCACUGAAAAGGGAGUGACUAUCAAAAAGCCCAAACUGAAAAAAAAAAUGAAGAGCCUGGGUGAGGUUUGGCUGUGAAAAACACUGGCAGGACCAUUUUAAACCUGAUUUUCUGUAUCGCCUUUUUUAGUUUGCUUCCUUAUUUUAAUGCAGCCGAAGCCAUUCUGGGGCUGUUUUAUUUAAAGCAAGUUUUGAGAGAGGACGCUGUGGUUUAUGGCCACGUGUCAAGUUUGAUAGUGUUGUGCCAUGAUUUAGCAAAACACUUGAAGCACAUGUCCACAUCCCACUGAAUUUGGUAGGAAGUGAAGAAGCAGAGGAAAAGCUGUUUGGCUGUGCAGCAGCCUCAUUCAGGGGGGAAAAAACCCAAAAGUAAUUGAAAUAAACCAAGGAUUUGUCUCCACACAAUUACAGAGCUUUGAGGCCAAAUUCUUUCAACUUGCAGUGAACUCAUUGAUCAUAUUAGAUCAGGAUUAUGGCACGUGUUUAAUAAUUUCAAACGAAAGGGUUCUGCACUGGGCUGCUCAGACCACUGAAAUAGACGGGCUAAUUAUGGGAGCCGUGGGCGUGCUGGAGUCAUCUGACUUUUAUUUUUUUUUAGCUAUCUCACCCUGCCCCCUCCCCAAACCAGCCUUUCAGACACCGAGAGAAAUCUUCAUCACACGCAGGAUUAGCGGAGUGCUGCUCAUUUUCCGAGAGCUUCGUUUGAACGUGGCAGAACUCCAGCAGAAGAGUGGCCAUCGAUGGAACGGGGAUGAGGGAUGAAGGAAGAGGGGUGGCAGCCUGGAGUUCCCCCCGUUUUCUGCCAGGCUGGAGAAGAUUUCUGGGUGAAAGGCUGGGAAAUGAAAAGUUUGGGAAGAGAUAUGAGUGCUGUGCUUUGCUCAGCGUAUCAGACUUCAUUAUAUCCUCACCAUAAACAGGAUGCCAUCAAAAAUCUGCUUAUUGAACACAUAUAAUUUAUGUACAUGUUCAUAUAUUUAUUUAUAUAUGUUCAGAUAAUUGAUAUAUGCUCCUUUUCUAGGUUAAGUUUAUGUGACCACCUUGUCCAUACAAUUUUGUCCUGGAUUGAUGGAAUGUGCCACAUCCUGAUACCAUUCCAUUGUCAUCCCUACUUACUAGGAGUUGUUUUUCUAGGACUUCAUAUAAAUAAUCGUACAAAUAAACAGCAUUGUAUCAAAAAGCUCCUUAACCACAUUUGACACCUCUCUCCCAUUCUUCCCCUAACACAAACUACCUAAUUUUAAAUCCUGGGUAACCCUCUGAGUCAAAUGUUUUAAAUUUAAAUUCUGUAACUGCCCUUCGUGGUUAUCUUACCCCAGGUUCCCUGCACGCCUUGUUUGAAUCUGCAGGGUUAAGACAUUAAAGUUUUAUUUUAUUUUCAG